CAGGGUCUCACGACGCCCAAACCAACCGUGAACAACUCCCAAACUCUUUGCUCCGGCGGGCCGCUCGCUGGGGGAGCCCGGGCCGCCGCCGAGGUGGUGGUCCGCCGGGGCAGCCAACAUACAAAUUCUCUGAACUCUUCUCUGAAAAAACUUUCCAAAAGAUUAAUCA
This 169-nucleotide unclassified non-coding RNA is filed under the name uncultured Ascomycota. Its description in RNAcentral is "sequence contains ITS1". Lineage: Eukaryota; Fungi; Ascomycota. The record is from RNAcentral.